RNAcentral lists this ribosomal RNA (402 nucleotides) under Bacteroidota bacterium. RNAcentral's name for it is "Bacteroidetes bacterium partial 16S ribosomal RNA". It matches the Rfam family "Bacterial small subunit ribosomal RNA", at positions 355 to 776 of the family's 1533-position model. The record is from RNAcentral. Lineage: Bacteria; Pseudomonadati; Bacteroidota.
UGGGGAAUUUUGCACAAUGGGGGAAACCCUGAUGCAGCGACGCCGCGUGAUUUAGAAGGCCUUCGGGUUGUAAAAAUCUUUUCUAUGGGAAGAAAAUGACAGUACCAUAGGAAUAAGGACCGGCUAAUUACGUGCCAGCAGCCGCGGUAAUACGUAGGUCCCGAGCGUUGUCCGGAUUUAUUGGGCGUAAAGCGAGCGCAGGCGGUUAGAUAAGUCUGAAGUUAAAGGCAGUGGCUCAACCAUUGUAGGCUUUGGAAACUGUUUAACUUGAGUGCAGAAGGGGAGAGUGGAAUUCCAUGUGUAGCGGUGAAAUGCGUAGAUAUAUGGAGGAACACCGGUGGCGAAAGCGGCUCUCUGGUCUGUAACUGACGCUGAGGCUCGAAAGCGUGGGGAGCGAACAGG